UUCAAACAUCAUACGUUUUUCUUCAUUUUCCUUUGAUGUUGUUGAGAAUUAUGGACUAUGAAGUGUAAAUAUCAAACUGCUUAUGCGGGACUUGUUCCUUCAAUUGAUAUUCCAACACUCUCCUCCCCCCGCAAAAACUGAAAACCAGUACAUUCAGUUGACACUUGAAGCUGAAAUGGAGCUGCAAUACCGAGAAAUGGAACUAAAACUGAAACCAGGUUAUAAUACCAUGUUGAGAAUUAUGGACCAACGAGUGUGAAUAUCAAACUGGCAAG
Molecule: unclassified non-coding RNA, 275 nt
Filed under: Hevea brasiliensis (rubber tree)
Lineage: Eukaryota; Viridiplantae; Streptophyta; Magnoliopsida; Malpighiales; Euphorbiaceae
Source: RNAcentral